AGCACCUACGGGACGCAGCAGUGGGGGAUAUUGCACAAUGGGGGAAACCCUGAUGCAGCAACGCCGCGUGAGUGACGAAGGUCUUCGGAUUGUAAAACUCUGUUCUUGGUGAAGAUAAUGACGGUAGCCAAGGAGAAAGCUCCGGCUAACUACGUGCCAGCAGCCGCGGUAAUACGUAGGGAGCGAGCGUUGUCCGGAAUUACUGGGUGUAAAGGGUGCGUAGGCGGCCUUGCAAGUCAGGCGUGAAAACCAUGGGCUCAACCCGUGGACUGCGUUUGAAACUGCAGUUCUUGAGUGAUGGAGAG
This 305-nucleotide ribosomal RNA is filed under the name uncultured bacterium. RNAcentral's name for it is "bacterial SSU rRNA". It matches the Rfam family "Bacterial small subunit ribosomal RNA", at positions 334 to 656 of the family's 1533-position model. The record is from RNAcentral.